AUGCUCACUCUUCUUACCCUUCUUUUCUGCAGGACUGGCAUCAUCCUCCACCUCCUUGUCCAAUGCACGCUUCUUAUCCUUGCCCUUUUUUGGGGUCUUCAGGUCUUCACCAGCAGAAAGCUCCUCAACCGACUCCUUCUUCCUCCUCUUCUCAGUCGCCUCUGGGGCUUCUUCCAUCACAGCAUCUUCAGUCUGAUCCUUCUUGUUCCUUUUCCUCUUGUACUUCAAACCUUCAGCUCCACCAUUGGCAUCUUUCAGCACCUUCAUCUUCUUGUCCUUGCGCUUGCUGCCAGUCCCAACUUCUGCAGCAUCGAUGACCUCUCCGGCACCAACUCCUGCUUCCAAACGCGCAACCGGAGCCUCAAUCUUCAUGCCCAACUCCGGCACAACCUGGUAAAUUGGCAGGGCAACCGAAUCCACAGCCUUCAAAUGCAGAGCCCUAACGUUUUCCCACUUCUUGGGCACCUUCUCCACGGCGGCCUCCACUGCCGCCAUCACAUUGUCAACAAUCUCCUCCUCCUCCAUGUCCAGCCUGCCCACCUUGAUCCCCGAGCAGGUCCCGGUCCGCAGGUACAGGAAAGUGGAGCUGAGGACCUUGCGGACCUGCUCCGGCCAGCCGGCGCGGGUGAAGUCGACGGCGAUGGGGGCCUUCUUGGUGGAGUAGAAGGACUUGCCGAGGAGGCGGGGCAGCAUGGGGAGCAGGGCGCGGUCGGCGAGGAAGAGGUCGUAGGAGGCGGCGAAGCGGCGGCGCGACUCGUAGGGGCGGUAGUCGGUGCGCAGGGCGGAGAAGGGGACGACCUCCGAGACGGGCAGCUUGAGGGACCUGGCGGCGUCGAGGAUGGCGGCGGCGGCGGGGGAGCCGGAGCCGGCGCGGUCGUCGGAGAUGACGCAGACGGAGGCGGCCGAGUGGGCGACGACGGGGUGCGGGAGCGGGAGCAGGUGCGGCUUGGUGGUGGGCUUGGGCGGGACGCGGCGGAGCGAGAGCUGGAGCACGACGAGGUCGUCGCGCUCGUCGGCGAGCAGGUUCGGCGGCGCCUCGGCCGCGCGCUCCCGCAUCCACUUGGUGAGGGACGCCACGGCGCUGGCCGCCGUCGCGCGCGGCACCUCGUGCGCCGCCUUGUCCUUCAGCUGCGGCUGCGGCGGCGGCGACAUGGCAGCGGCUGUGGCGGCGGUUUAGGGUUUGGAGUGGCGGCGGGAGAAAGACGAGAGGAGGACGGGAGGAGCCGGGCUGCGAUGCGAGACCUUAUUAUAUGUGAGACGAGACUGCACCUUACGCGGCCCAUCCUGCGGGAAUGGCCCAGCCCAAUUGCCCAAAGGUCGUUCGGACGUACCAUUAGCUAG
Molecule: ribosomal RNA, 1341 nt
Filed under: Triticum aestivum (bread wheat)
Lineage: Eukaryota; Viridiplantae; Streptophyta; Magnoliopsida; Poales; Poaceae
Description: partial small subunit ribosomal RNA
Source: RNAcentral